ACAGUUUGCAGCCGAAACAGUCCUCCGCCAGCCGCUGUUUUCUUCUUCUGGGCAAUUUGACGCGGAGCUUCAAAAACCACAGCGCUACUAGUGACUGACAUAUCAGCUAUAGCAAGCAUGGAUGAGAGCUUUGCCAUCUAUAUUCCCACCUAUGCUGACAGAAUUGCCACCCAGAGAUUUUGCUUCGAGUUCCAAGGAAAAGGUGAAAGAGAUGUCCUUCAACAGACGUGGCUUGAAAAACUCUUUACAUGCAAAUCUUCAUAGAAAAAGUCCAAUUUGAUCUAAAAUGUUUUUGGUUUCAGGUAAUAUCACUAUGUAAUAUAUUUAAAAAGAAAGCUUACCAUUUGACUCAAAAUGUGUUUUCAAUAUGUUUUCAAGAACAUAUGGAAGUGAGCCACAAUAGAGUCAGUUAGCUUUUGUUUUUGUUGACAAAGAUAUAGAGCAAAAAUACUGAUUAAAAAGAUUACUCCAACAACA
Molecule: long non-coding RNA, 477 nt
Organism: Fundulus heteroclitus (mummichog)
Lineage: Eukaryota; Metazoa; Chordata; Actinopteri; Cyprinodontiformes; Fundulidae
Exons: 2
Source: RefSeq, a predicted model, not a curated record